RNAcentral lists this long non-coding RNA (840 nucleotides) under Salmo salar (Atlantic salmon). Its description in RNAcentral is "lncRNA (ENSSSAG00000112504.1)". The record is from RNAcentral. Lineage: Eukaryota; Metazoa; Chordata; Actinopteri; Salmoniformes; Salmonidae.
AUUUUAAACAGCGGUUGACAUGCUUCGAAGUACGGUAAUGGAAUAUUUAGAAAUCUUUUGUCACGAAUUGAGCCAUGCUCGCGACCCUGAUUUACCAUUUCGGAUAGUGUCUUGGAACGCACGAACAAAACGCCGCAAUUUGGAUGUAACGAUGGAUUAUUUUGGACCAAACCAACAUUUGUUAUUGAAGUAGCAGUCCUGGGAGUGCAUUCUGACGAAGACAACAAAGAUGCAACCUUCCAAGUGUCUCCCAAAUGCAACAAUUCAACAUUGGACCAAAUUGUCUGAAGGAUUAAGAUUUUCUCUGUCAGGUCUGGAAUUCAACUGGCAACCCUCCGGAAAAUUACCAGUCCACCUCUUUAACCUUGAGGUUACUACCGCUCCCAAGUCAUUAUUUCCUACUGCAAAAAGCUAGAGCCAAUGGUCAAGAUGGGUGAAAAUGUGGCUGCAUCAACUUUCCAAAGGAAAGAGAAGAUACAAGACUACCCAGGAUGCUCUCUUAGCUAGGUUACUGGAGGAGUUUAUUUCACCCUGCCGUCUGCAAUGGAGGUCAAUCAACUGAUUUCUCUGCCAAUUGAAAAAGCAAGAGGACAUCAAUAACGUGCUCACAUUUUGUUACAUCUCCGUUGACGGAUUCAGGCCAUGAUUUUCAUUUAGUCCAAAAAAGAGAGAGAACCAAACUGUCAGCUAUGUUGUAGUUCCCACUUUUAAUCUCCGCCUGCAGUCAAUAAUCAGCCUGAAACCCCAAAAAAACCUUUGUCAGUUGGUAAUCUUGUAUUGAAGACAUUUGGAUGCUGCCUGCUGAAAUUGUAUUCUGCAUUAGGCUAUGGUAAUCCAGAC